GGCUGGUACUCAAAUGUAGUGAGUGAUCUCAAUUGAUUAUUCACAGCAAGUUACAGAUCGAACUCCUUGUUCUACUGUUUUCCCCCUUCUCACUACUGCAUUUGACUAGUCUUUA
Molecule: Y RNA, 115 nt
Organism: Papio anubis (olive baboon)
Lineage: Eukaryota; Metazoa; Chordata; Mammalia; Primates; Cercopithecidae
Rfam family: Y RNA
About the family: Y RNAs are components of the Ro ribonucleoprotein particle (Ro RNP), in association with Ro60 and La proteins. The Y RNAs and Ro60 and La proteins are well conserved, but the function of the Ro RNP is not known. In humans the RNA component can be one of four small RNAs -- hY1, hY3, hY4 and hY5.
Source: Ensembl